Rhagoletis zephyria (snowberry fruit fly) is the source of this 197-nucleotide long non-coding RNA. RefSeq lists it as uncharacterized. The record is from RefSeq and is a predicted model, not a curated record. NCBI's taxonomy places the organism in Eukaryota, Metazoa, Arthropoda, Insecta, Diptera, Tephritidae.
GAUGAAAAAAGAAUUAACAUACAAAAAAAUAUUGCGACGAACUGUUAGCCUCCUCCUUUUUGUGAAGUCGGUUACUAAAAAUUUGGCCGCGAUGACUUGAGAGAUGAACAUCUGAGCUCUUUGAAACCCAACAAUCGUGCAGGUUUAGACAGGGUGCUGUUUUCUGCAGAGUUGUUUAGUGCCUGGAUCCAACAAAA